UACAGAGGCCUCGAGCGUUAGGCGGAAUCACUGGGCUUAAAGCGUGUGUAGGCGGACUUCUAAGUGCCUUGUGAAAUCCCACGGCUCACCCGUGGAACUGCUGGGCAUACUGGGAGUCUUGAGCCACCUAGGGGCGAGCGGAACAAAUGGUGGAGCGGUGAAAUGCGUAGAUAUCAUUUGGAACGCCAACGGAGAAAUCAGCUCGCUGGGGUUGUGCUGACGCUGAGACACGAAAGCCAGGGGAGCGAACGGG
This 253-nucleotide ribosomal RNA is filed under the name uncultured bacterium. RNAcentral's name for it is "partial 16S ribosomal RNA". It matches the Rfam family "Bacterial small subunit ribosomal RNA", at positions 524 to 776 of the family's 1533-position model. The record is from RNAcentral.